Molecule: ribosomal RNA, 497 nt
Filed under: uncultured bacterium
Lineage: Bacteria
Description: partial 16S ribosomal RNA
Rfam family: Bacterial small subunit ribosomal RNA
Source: RNAcentral
GAUGAACGCUGGCGGCGUGCCUAAUACAUGCAAGUCGAGCGAACGGACGAGAAGCUUGCUUCUCUGAUGUUAGCGGCGGACGGGUGAGUAACACGUGGAUAACCUACCUAUAAGACUGGGAUAACUUCGGGAAACCGGAGCUAAUACCGGAUGAUAUUUUGAACCACGUGGUUCAAAAGUGAAAGACGGUCUUGCUGUCACUUAUAGAUGGAUCCGCGCUGCAUUAGCUAGUUGGUAAGGUAACGGCUUACCAAGGCAACGAUGCAUAGCCGACCUGAGAGGGUGAUCGGCCACACUGGAACGGAGACACGGUCCAGACUCCUACGGGAGGCAGCAGUAGGGAAUCUUCCGCAAUGGGCGAAAGCCUGACGGAGCAACGCCGCGUGAGUGAUGAAGGUCUUCGGAUCGUAAAACUCUGUUAUUAGGGAAGAACAUAUGUGUAAGUAACUGUGCACAUCUUGACGGUACCUAAUCAGAAAGCCACGGCUAACUACGUG